RNAcentral lists this transfer RNA (71 nucleotides) under Echinicola soli. RNAcentral describes it as "Echinicola sp. LN3S3 tRNA-OTHER". It matches the Rfam family "tRNA". Rfam says of the family: Transfer RNA (tRNA) molecules are approximately 80 nucleotides in length. The record is from RNAcentral. Lineage: Bacteria; Pseudomonadati; Bacteroidota; Cytophagia; Cytophagales; Cyclobacteriaceae.
AGGUGGCUCAGUUGGCUAGAGCGUCCCGACGGAUGUCGGGAAGGUCAUCGGUUCGAAUCCGAUAUUUUCCA